AAUGAGGUAAUGAAGAAGAAAGAGGAAGACAAAGGGAAAAGUCUUGAUAUUCUAAAGAUGUCUAAACUUAACCAGCAUGCUCAUCCUACUUCAUAUCAGGGAACUACCAUUGACUCAUAAUCCAGAUCCUGAAGUACUUCCAGUAAUACAAAGACUUUGCACCCUGUGUUUGGCUUCUGUGGGAAUGGUCUGUGGUUUUCUGAAGACAAGACUCUCACCCUAUCUCAUGGUCUGAAACCACACUUCACAGUGAAUAAGCUGACUGCAUGAGAAAAAUCUGAAUCUGGGGAAGGCUCAGAAGCCUUGGCUGAGGAUCAGGAUCAUUCUGUGAGUGAGGAUUGUUUCAAUUCAUAUCCUAUCUCGAGCAAAAGGCUUUGUCUGAAGUUAUCAUGAAGUCACUAGCUGAAACUGCCAGAGGAUUUUUUUUGGACCUGAACUUCUCAGUAGUGGAAAUAGCUCCUGACCGCUGAAUCACAGCAGUACAAGAGCAGAGCAGUUUUACUGUCUUAUCUCCUCUGCAGGCAAACAUUCUUUCUCCUACAGAUCACCACAAGGCACUGCUCCAACUACACGAGGUGCUGCAGAGGCUGGGCAGGCAGCUCAUGGCACUCAUCUCAUGGUUCCUGUGCUCCCCUGCAGCAAGAGCCAGGCAGCACCAGCGUUUCCAGGUGCGGGAGUCCCACCACGGAGGGGAGAGAAGCUCUGCGAUUUUCAGCAGGGCCCCAGCCCAGAG
Molecule: long non-coding RNA, 733 nt
Organism: Catharus ustulatus (Swainson's thrush)
Lineage: Eukaryota; Metazoa; Chordata; Aves; Passeriformes; Turdidae
Exons: 5
Source: RefSeq, a predicted model, not a curated record